AACCCUGAUUAACACAAAUGUCUGGAAUGCAGAUAGAUGAGAUCAACAAAUAAUAUUAAACCCCAUUCCUGCAUUCCCACAUGUAUCUCUCUAUUACAGCAUAUUCCAGGACAUGAGCGUCAUAAGGAAGUGGUUUAUUUCUCCUUUUGUUGUCUAUAUAAACCUCUGUGAGGACAGAAAUUCUGCAGGUGAGACAAGAUGGAGUUUGGAUUCGUGAUAUUUUUGCUCAGCUCUGCUCUUUUCGGGCACAGCUCUGGAUUCACAACACCUGAUGCCACACCGUACUGGGACAUAACAACAGGUGGAGCUCCAUGUGGUGGAACUCUGACUCAGUCACAAGGGGAAUUUUUCAGCCCCAAUUAUCCCAAUAAUUAUCCCAAUUAUG
Molecule: long non-coding RNA, 385 nt
Organism: Ictalurus punctatus (channel catfish)
Lineage: Eukaryota; Metazoa; Chordata; Actinopteri; Siluriformes; Ictaluridae
Source: Ensembl